Molecule: unclassified non-coding RNA, 353 nt
Filed under: Hevea brasiliensis (rubber tree)
Lineage: Eukaryota; Viridiplantae; Streptophyta; Magnoliopsida; Malpighiales; Euphorbiaceae
Source: RNAcentral
CAGCACUUUCCAGCAGAUGUGGAUCGCAAAAGCAGAAUAUGAUGAGUCUGGGCCAUCAAUCGUGCAUCGGAAAUGUUUCUAAAUGUUUUGAGAAUAGGAUUGUUGAAGAAAGAGGGGAAAAGAAAGUACUGUUUUGUUCUUUGGCAAGCAAGUGGGUGGCUUGCCUUCUUUUUCAUUCUAGCUUUAUUGUGCAUCUAUGUUUAUUGUGACAUUUUGGAGUGAUAAUUUUGAGAAGGCGAUGAGUUGAUUGCCCAAAUGGUCUCGUCCACAAUUCUUUCAUUAUUACUAUUCUGAGUUUUAAGUUUUCUUCUUUACUGUUAAGAUUCAUCUUGGCUGCACCCUGAUCUCUUAAU